RNAcentral lists this ribosomal RNA (1060 nucleotides) under Phoronis australis. RNAcentral describes it as "eukaryotic LSU rRNA". It matches the Rfam family "Eukaryotic large subunit ribosomal RNA", at positions 75 to 936 of the family's 3401-position model. Lineage: Eukaryota; Metazoa; Phoronida; Phoronidae. The record is from RNAcentral.
UUCCCUCAGUAACGGCGAGUGAAGCGGGAACAGCCCAGCGCCGAAUCCCCCGGCGUGCAGCCGGCGGGAACUGUGGCGUUUAGGACAGCCCCUGCCGGGCCGCACGGUCGCCCAAGUCCUCCUGAUCGGGGCCUUUCCCACAGUGGGUGUUAGGCCUGUACUGGCGACCGUCGGUCCUGCCCGGAGCGUCCUGGGAGUCGGGUUGCUUGUGAUUGCAGCCCAAAGUGGGUGGUAAACUCCAUCUAAGGCUAAAUACAACACGAGUCCGAUAGCGAACAAGUACCGUGAGGGAAAGUUGAAAAGAACUUUGAAGAGAGAGUUCAAUAGUACGUGAAACCGCUCAGAGGCAAACGGGUGGAACCGCAAAGUCGACCCGCAGGAUUCAACCCGGCGGACGGGCUGCGGACGGAGAGGCCGCGGAUCCCUAGGACCGACUCUUCGUUCGGCGGCCGUCCACGGGUGCACUUUCUGCGGGGAGAGCGCCACGACCGGUUGAGCGGCGGCGAUAAGCCCGUCGGGUGGGUAGCGUCUCGUUCGCGGGACGUGAUGACCCGGCGCGGCGCACGCCUGCCGCGCGACCGAGGAUCGACACCGCGCCCGCCACACGGCACGGGCCCGCGGCCUCCUCGGCGAGACCAAGCUGGGUGGACUGGCGUCAGUGCUCCCUAACCGCUCGUCGUCUAGGACCGCGUCGGCUCCCGUAGGGCGCCCUGGGUCAGUGGCGAUUCGGUCGGCCCUCUACCCGACCCGUCYUGAAACACGGACCAAGGAGUCUAACAUGUGCGCGAGUCAUGGGGCUCUACGAAACCUAAAGGCGCAAUGAAAGUGAAGGCCGCUUCCGSUGGCUGAGGUGAGAUCCCGGCCCGCGGGUCGGGCGCAUCACCGGCCCGUCUCGUCCGCAUCGUCGGUGAGGCGGAGCAAGAGCGUACACGUUGGGACCCGAAAGAUGGUGAACUMUGCCUGAGUAGGACGAAGCCAGAGGAAACUCUGGUGGAAGUCCGUAGCGAUUCUGACGUGCAAAUCGAUCGUCAAACUUGGGUAUAGGGGCGAAAGACUAAUC